Molecule: ribosomal RNA, 540 nt
Filed under: uncultured bacterium
Lineage: Bacteria
Description: bacterial SSU rRNA
Rfam family: Bacterial small subunit ribosomal RNA
Source: RNAcentral
UGAGGAAUAUUGGUCAAUGGGCGCAAGCCUGAACCAGCCAAGUAGCGUGCAGGAAGACGGCCCUAUGGGUUGUAAACUGCUUUUAUACGAGAAUAAUUUGAUGCACGUGUGCGUUAUUGCAUGUAUCGUAUGAAUAAGGACCGGCUAAUUCCGUGCCAGCAGCCGCGGUAAUACGGAAGGUCCAGGCGUUAUCCGGAUUUAUUGGGUUUAAAGGGAGUGUAGGCGGUUUGUUAAGCGUGUUGUGAAAUUUAGGUGCUCAACAUUUAACUUGCAGCGCGAACUGUCAGACUUGAGUACACGCAACGUAUGCGGAAUUCAUGGUGUAGCGGUGAAAUGCUUAGAUAUCAUGAAGAACUCCGAUUGCGAAGGCAGCAUACGGGAGUGUAACUGACGCUUAAGCUCGAAGGUGCGGGUAUCGAACAGGAUUAGAUACCCUGGUAGUCCGCACAGUAAACGAUGGAUGCCCGCUGUUAGCGCCUGGCGUUAGCGGCUAAGCGAAAGCAUUAAGCAUCCCACCUGGGGAGUACGCCGGCAACGGUG